RNAcentral lists this ribosomal RNA (468 nucleotides) under uncultured bacterium. RNAcentral describes it as "partial 16S ribosomal RNA". It matches the Rfam family "Bacterial small subunit ribosomal RNA", at positions 28 to 507 of the family's 1533-position model. The record is from RNAcentral.
GACGAACGCUGGCGGCGUGCUUAACACAUGCAAGUCGAACGGAAAGGCCCUGCUUUUGUGGGGUGCUCGAGUGGCGAACGGGUGAGUAACACGUGAGUAACCUGCCCUUGACUUUGGGAUAACUUCAGGAAACUGGGGCUAAUACCGGAUAGGAGCUCCUGCUGCAUGGUGGGGGUUGGAAAGUUUCGGCGGUUGGGGAUGGACUCGCGGCUUAUCAGCUUGUUGGUGGGGUAGUGGCUUACCAAGGCUUUGACGGGUAGCCGGCCUGAGAGGGUGACCGGCCACAUUGGGACUGAGGUACGGCCCAGACUCCUACGGGAGGCAGCAGUGGGGAAUAUUGCACAAUGGGCCGAAGCCUGAUGCAGCAACGCCGCGUGCGGGAUGACGGCCUUCGGGUUGUAAACCGCUUUCGCCUUGGACGAAGCGUUAGUGACGGUAAUGGGUAAAGAAGCACCGGCUAACUACGUG